RNAcentral lists this ribosomal RNA (429 nucleotides) under Bacteroidota bacterium. Its description in RNAcentral is "Bacteroidetes bacterium partial 16S ribosomal RNA". It matches the Rfam family "Bacterial small subunit ribosomal RNA", at positions 355 to 776 of the family's 1533-position model. The record is from RNAcentral. Lineage: Bacteria; Pseudomonadati; Bacteroidota.
UAGGGAAUCUUCCGCAAUGGACGCAAGUCUGACGGAGCAACGCCGCGUGAGUGAAGAAGGAUUUCGGUUCGUAAAACUCUGUUGUUAGAGAAGAACAGCGCAUAGAGUAACUGUUAUGCGUGUGACGGUAUCUAACCAGAAAGCCACGGCUAACUACGUGCCAGCAGCCGCGGUAAUACGUAGGUGGCAAGCGUUGUCCGGAUUUAUUGGGCGUAAAGCGAGCGCAGGCGGUCAAGUAAGUCUGAUGUGAAAGCCACCGGCUCAACCGGGGAAGGUCAUUGGAAACUGGUUGACUUGAGUGCAGAAGAGGAGAGUGGAAGUCCAUGUGAAGCGGUGAAAUGCGUAGAUAUAUGAAGGAACACCGGUGGCGAAGGCGACUCUCUGGUCUGUAACUGACGCUGAGGCUCGAAAGCGUGGGUAGCAAACAGG